Molecule: ribosomal RNA, 301 nt
Filed under: uncultured bacterium
Lineage: Bacteria
Description: partial 16S ribosomal RNA
Rfam family: Bacterial small subunit ribosomal RNA
Source: RNAcentral
CAGCAGCCGCGGGAAUACGAAGGGGGCUAGCAUUGUUCGGAUUUACUGGGCGUAAAGCGCACGUAGGCGGACUUUUAAGUCAGGGGUGAAAUCCCGGGGCUCAACCCCGGAACUGCCUUUGAUACUGGAAGUCUUGAGUAUGGUAGAGGUGAGUGGAAUUCCGAGUGUAGAGGUGAAAUUCGUAGAUAUUCGGAGGAACACCAGUGGCGAAGGCGGCUCACUGGACCAUUACUGACGCUGAGGUGCGAAAGCGUGGGGAGCAAACAGGAUUAGAUACCCGAGUAGUCCUGUCUCUUAUACA